This is a regulatory RNA element of Alkaliphilus metalliredigens QYMF, 90 nucleotides long. It matches the Rfam family "c-di-GMP-I riboswitch aptamer". Rfam says of the family: GEMM was predicted in a large-scale screen for bacterial structured RNA regulatory elements. Genes associated with GEMM are involved in a diverse array of functions, including chemotaxis regulation, signal transduction, secretion and chitin. The record is from Rfam. Lineage: Bacteria; Bacillati; Bacillota; Clostridia; Peptostreptococcales; Natronincolaceae.
CGUUGAUAAGGGCAAACUUACUGAAAAGUAAGGACGCAAAGCCAUGAGUCUAAGGGAAGUUUUUAUUCCUAUGAUUGUCAGGUUGCAAAU